AUUGAACGCUGGCGGCAGGCCUAACACAUGCAAGUCGAACGGUAACAGGAAGAAGCUUGCUUCUUUGCUGACGAGUGGCGGACGGGUGAGUCAUGUCUGGGAAACUGCCUGAUGGAGGGGGAUAACUACUGGAAACGGUAGCUAAUACCGCAUAACGUCGCAAGCCCAAAGAGGGGGACCUUCGGGCCUCUUGCCAUCGGAUGUGCCCAGAUGGGAUUAGCUAGUAGGUGGGGUAACGGCUCACCUAGGCGACGAUCCCUAGCUGGUCUGAGAGGAUGACCAGCCACACUGGAACUGAGGCACGGUCCAGACUCCUACGGGAGGCAGCAGUGGGGAAUAUUGCACAAAGGGCGAAAGCCUGAUGCAGCCAUGCCGCGUGGAUGAAGAAGGCCUUCGGGUUGUAAAGUACUUUCAGCGGGGAGGAAGGGAGUAAAGUUAAUACCUUUGCUCAUUGACGGUACCCGCAGAAGAAGCACCGGCUAACUCCGUG
This 490-nucleotide ribosomal RNA is filed under the name uncultured bacterium. RNAcentral's name for it is "partial 16S ribosomal RNA". It matches the Rfam family "Bacterial small subunit ribosomal RNA", at positions 30 to 507 of the family's 1533-position model. The record is from RNAcentral.